This 377-nucleotide unclassified non-coding RNA is filed under the name uncultured Actinomycetes bacterium. RNAcentral describes it as "uncultured actinobacterium contains 16S-23S intergenic spacer region". The record is from RNAcentral. Lineage: Bacteria; Bacillati; Actinomycetota; Actinomycetes.
UCCGGUUUGUCACCGGCAGUCUCCUAUGAGUCCCCAACUUAAUGCUGGCAACAUAGGACGGGGGUUGCGCUCGUUGCGGGACUUAACCCAACAUCUCACGACACGAGCUGACGACAGCCAUGCACCACCUGUGAAAGUGUCCCGAAGGAAGACCGUGUUUCCACGGCUGUCACCGACAUGUCAAACCCAGGUAAGGUUCUUCGCGUUGCGUCGAAUUAAGCCACAUACUCCACCGCUUGUGCAGGCCCCCGUCAAUUUCUUUGAGUUUUAGCCUUGCGGCCGUACUCCCCAGGCGGGGCGCUUAAUGCGUUAGCUACGGCACGGAUCCCGUGGAAGGAAACCCACACCUAGCGCCCACCGUUUACGGCGUGGACUAC